Molecule: transfer RNA, 72 nt
Filed under: Bos taurus (domestic cattle)
Lineage: Eukaryota; Metazoa; Chordata; Mammalia; Artiodactyla; Bovidae
Also listed under: 4 other names
Rfam family: tRNA
About the family: Transfer RNA (tRNA) molecules are approximately 80 nucleotides in length. Their secondary structure includes four short double-helical elements and three loops (D, anti-codon, and T loops). Further hydrogen bonds mediate the characteristic L-shaped molecular structure. tRNAs have two regions of fundamental functional importance: the anti-codon, which is responsible for specific mRNA codon recognition, and the 3' end, to which the tRNAs corresponding amino acid is attached (by aminoacyl-tRNA synthetases). tRNAs cope with the degeneracy of the genetic code in two manners: having more than one tRNA (with a specific anti-codon) for a particular amino acid; and 'wobble' base-pairing, i.e. permitting non-standard base-pairing at the 3rd anti-codon position.
Source: Rfam by way of RNAcentral
UCCCUGGUGGUCCAGUGGCUAAGACUCUGUGCUUCCAAUGUAGGGGGCCCAGGUUUGAUCCCGGUCAGGGAA